Regulatory RNA element from Micromonospora sp. CB01531, 74 nucleotides. It matches the Rfam family "Actino-pnp RNA". The record is from Rfam. Lineage: Bacteria; Bacillati; Actinomycetota; Actinomycetes; Micromonosporales; Micromonosporaceae.
ACCGGUCUCCGGUAGUGGCUCCCGGGCACCCCGGCAUCAUGCCGGCCAUCCGGGCGCUUCGAUCGAAGACCGGC